AUACGUAGGUGGCAAGCGUUGUCCGGAAUUAUUGGGCGUAAAGCGCGCGCAGGCGGUCUCUUAAGUCUGGUGUGAAAGCCCACGGCUCAACCGUGGAGGGUCAUUGGAAACUGGGAGACUUGAGUGCAGAAGAGAAGAGUGGAAUUCCACGUGUAGCGGUGAAAUGCGUAGAGAUGUGGAGGAACACCAGUGGCGAAGGCGACUCUUUGGUCUGUAACUGACGCUGAGGCGCGAAAGCGUGGGGAGCAAACAGGAUUAGAUACCCUGGUAGUCCACGCCGUAAACGAUGAGUGCUAAGUGUUAGAGGGUUUCCGCCCUUUAGUGCUGCAGCAAACGCAUUAAGCACUCCGCCUGGGGAGUACGGCCGCAAGGCUGAA
RNAcentral lists this ribosomal RNA (377 nucleotides) under uncultured bacterium. Its description in RNAcentral is "bacterial SSU rRNA". It matches the Rfam family "Bacterial small subunit ribosomal RNA", at positions 523 to 898 of the family's 1533-position model. The record is from RNAcentral.